Molecule: long non-coding RNA, 1077 nt
Filed under: Marmota monax (woodchuck)
Lineage: Eukaryota; Metazoa; Chordata; Mammalia; Rodentia; Sciuridae
Source: RNAcentral
UACAACCUCCCCAGCAUGUUGCUUUACCAAAUCCUGCAGUUGACAGUGCAUUAGGUUUAUUAUACCAGCACCACUGCUCACACACAAGUAAUCUCAUAAAAUAGGCACCCAUAUGUGUGUCACCUAUGUGACCAAAUGUCCUUGAAGAAAGCAUUGUUGUGUGGCUUCUGAAUGUAUAUUAGAAAAGCUGGCAGUCUGUGGUUCAGACAAUGUUGACAAUUAUUACACAGUUCUUAUGCAUAUUAGGCUUGCCAAAUUACUUUCUUAGCCUCUAAAAUGUCCAUUUUGGAAAUUUAUAAAAUUCUGCAAGGCUAGCAUGUGGAAGAGAUGAACUUUGGUGACAUUGAUUUAUUCCUAAGACACAAGCCUCUUUUCACUUAUCCCAUUCUUCUUUCACAUUAUCAGAAGUAUUAGCAAUUUCUUGUUUAUCAAUCAUUGUUCUUGUUUGCUGGUUGGUUAGGUUUGGUCUGGAGCAAACAGAUGCAGCCUUCUAAUUUUUCUCAUCCCUAGUGAACACAUUGUGACCACCUGUAUGAAAUGUUUUCUACCACACAGCUUCCAGUCUCCUUGAGUGCAGAGUUAUUGUUUUUUGUUUGCUUGUAUGUUUUCAGAUGGGUGAUAUUUUAGGUUCUCAGAUAAGAGUGGAACAAAAUAAUUAUAUUUCUGAAGGAAGGCAGACAUUCAAUAAAGGUCCUGUUGUUUAUGCAUACUCCCAGCACAAUGACUCGGUGUUACUGCUUUGUUUGGUGGAAUUCUUUCCAAAUUGUUAACUCCCCCUCAGCAAAAUUCCAACUUUGUCAGCAGGCAUUUCUAAGGGCAGGUGCUGUCGGGAGGAUUAAUAUUAACUGUUUCCUGCACAGGAGGUAGUAGGGCUUCAUUAAUCCAUGUAGUAGACAUCACCUACAAAAACAUUAGGGGUGACCCAGGAACAUACCUGACUUCCUGGACUCCACAAGAAGAAGGUGUUUUUGCUCUGCUGGUGCUUUUUUGGAUAGUUCAGGUCUUAUAUUGGAGUGCUUCCAUUUGGGGAAGUGAGUGCACACCAAGAGUACAAGUUUUUUUUGUUUGUUUGUUUGU